CAUUUCUGACCAUCUCCGCUUGCCUGGGCCACUGGGGCUCUUCGGAAACCUGGGUGGCCACGCUGGUUGCCAGGAGUCUAACCCGGCUGCUGCUUUGGUUCUGGGCCUCAGAAAUCUACCGACAGCAGCAGCCGGGGAUACCCGAGCCAGCACAGGUCAUCUACGGCUGGUGCUGCGCGAUUGCGGCCUACGGCGAUCCGGUGGCGUCCACUGCGCUCGCCUCCUUGCCUACAUAUGGCCCUUAUGAGUACUCGGAGGCCCAUGCGUUGCUGGCGGCUGUGGUCAUGGUGGCUACGCUGUGCAUACUUUCAGCAGCGACCUACCUCAAGGUCAUGGCACCCAACAACAAUGAGACCUGCGUGAGGAAUUUGACCUGAUUGGCAAGCGAAAUUGAAAACGUGAGCGAGCGCAGGUCAGUUAGUCCGGAGUGUGUUUUCUACUUGGAUGGAACAUUUUCUUUGUUCCGUCUCAUUCUCAGACGACGCCAACCUUCCCAACGCUCUCCGCCUGCAUGGGACACUGGGGCUCCUGGCAAGCCUGGGUGGCCACGCUGGCUGCCAGGGGGCUAACCAGGCUGCUGCUGUACUUCUGGGCAUCAGAAAUAUUCUCUUCAGUCAUGAAUUACGAUCAACUGUCGAUAAAUGCGUGAAAUGUACAUACUUUUAUGCCAAGAUGCUGGAGACUCCAAAAAAACCAAGUCAAGGUGGGAUGAGAAUGAGACUGUGCAUUUUAGAUAGACCCAUCAUAAUUACACAGUAAUUAAAUAUUGAUAUAUUGCACACUCAGCCAUGCUACGUUUCUUCAUGAAAAAUAUUGAAUCACUCAAUCGAAUUGCAUGCGCAGGUUAAUUAUUGGGUGCCAGCAUUACAAAAAAGGGAACAAUAUUUUGCAAUAACUAUCGAAAUGUCCCACUCCAAACGUCCCAUCAAAGACGAUGUUGCCUUCACUAAAGCGGUCAUCUGAAGCGGCACAUUCCACUCAGAAGUGAAAUGGGGGCACUUUAGGAAAGCAGAAUGUUCAAUUUGCUGAAAGUUUAAUGUUUGUUGUCUAUUCCUUGCAACCACUGCACAGUAAUGGCGAAAAUAAGUCGCGUCCACAAAUGUAUACGCCGUGACUGAAGGGGAUAUACAGAGAGCAGCAGCCGGGGACGGCCCAGACAGCCGAGACCACCUACGGCUGGUGCUGCAGGAUUGUGGCUUACGCCGAUCCAGUGGCGUCUACUGCACUCGCCUCCUUGCCCGUAUUCGGCCCAUAUGAGUGUGCGGAGGCCCAUGCUGUGCUGGCUGCGGUCGUCAUGGUGGUGACGCUGUGCGUCCUUGCAGCAGCUACGUACCUGAAGGUCAUGGUGGAGAAUGACGAUGGGAUCUGGACCACCACGGCACUGAAGGCGCAAUGCGGUCUGUAUGGCGUGGCCUGCGUUGUGGGCUUAGCCACGGGGGCCAUCAAGGAUACCCUCCCACCUGAUUGGCAGCUGUUUGGUCAAGCUGUUUUCGUCUACAUGGAGCAAGCCCUCACGGUUUUGGAAUUGUUGCAGUGUUUAAUCUUCA
Dermacentor andersoni is the source of this 1547-nucleotide non-coding RNA. The record is from RefSeq and is a predicted model, not a curated record. NCBI's taxonomy places the organism in Eukaryota, Metazoa, Arthropoda, Arachnida, Ixodida, Ixodidae.